AUUAGAAGCGAAUUGUGCAAGGGCUUCUAACUCCAUGAGUUAUAGUUCCAAUUUUCAUUUGCUAGUACUUGUUUCAUGGCUUUAGUUUGAGAUGCGGAUCCCACUCUGGAAACAGAAAUACCCACAUUAAUAGCAGGUCAGUUUCUUGCGUUGAAUAGAUUGACAUAUUAGAAUAUUUGUCCAUCUACACAUACACAUGCAUACAUGCAAAUGGCCUUUUUACCCUUUAUUGGAGAAGUUUUUUUUCCUUCAAAUGGAUUAUAUUGGAUGUUUCUAUAUCACUGCCAACCCAUUUGGUUAUAGUCAAUCAGAGUUUUGAUGCAGAAAAUGGAACAAGCAGACUCAAGCAGGCGAUCAUCAAAAAAUCAGAGUACUCCCACUCCUGUUCUUGCCAUCCUUGCAAAGGACAUUGGUGAUCUAGCAAGCAAGGAAAAAGCACUGUUCAGUCCUAUAUUGAAGAAGUGGCAUCCUCUGGCUGCAGGCAUUGCUGUUGCUACCCUUCAUUCAUGUUAUGGUAAUGAACUUAAGCAGUUUAUAUCCGGUGUCACGGAACUGACACCAGACACAGUCCAAGUGCUUAAAGCUGCAGACAAAUUAGAGAAAGCUCUGGUACAUAUUGCUGUUGAAGACUCUGUUGAUAGUGAUGAUGGUGGUAAAUCGUUGAUCCGAGAGAUGCCUCCUUAUGAGGCUGAAUCUGCAAUUGCUAAUCUUGUGAAAACUUGGAUAAAGACACGAGUGGACAGACUGAAGGAGUCGUUCGACCGGAACUUGCAGCAAGAGGAAGGUUCUUAUUGCACCAUAAGAUGCAUCUGUGAUUGCUUUUAUAAUUGAUGGCAAGUGGUAUGGUUUGGUGGCCCUGGAGAAAGGUAUUUUAUCAGUAUCCUUUAGCAAUAUCACGGAAUUGCCUCAAAGAAGAUUGGCUUAUAGUAAAAACACAAUAAGCUUGCUUCUUCGUUACGACCGAUGUCAGGAUGGGGCCGCCAUUGUCAUUCUCAGAAGAAGAACAAAAGAUCAGUGCUGAAAUAAGAAAUACCAAGAUACUGUGGAGCUACAAUCAUGUUAGUGACUCAAGUAAGAGUAAUUCUGAGUCUCAGAAGGUUGAUUGGCUUUCCUUUUGUCAUCAUUUGGUUGGAAACAACUCAUGGAAACAAAAUGGUGAAAGCUUACCUUCUUUAGCCGAGUCAACUUAGAUGUAAAACUAGGUCAUAUCUUGUGCAUAGUCACUGUCUGCUGAGCCUUGGCCAGGAUUUGCACUAGAAAUGCAUGCAUGUUAACUGCUUGUUUAUUUCCUGGUGUUUCCAUUUUCAUGGUUUAUGUUGUCUUAUAAAGUUACUGGUGUUAAACCUAUCAACUCCCGUCUGUUAUUGUUUUGUUGAAGAUUCUUUCACUGUUUUAAAAUGUGCUGCAUACUAUUGCUUGUGCUCCUGAAUAUGCAUGUGUUUCCUUGGUCUCACCGCAUUGCGUUGCCUAUAUGAAGGUUGCUAUAUGUGGUUGUGCUGUAAAUGAACCAAAAAGGUGGUCCACUUAGUAAUAUGCAAACACAUAAAUGACCUACUUAGUAUUAUAUUUGUACGGCUGAUAUGUGAGCCAUUUUAACACUUUGGAGCUACACAUACAGCCCACUCUUAUGCAAGCCUGAGAUGGUAAAGCCAGUUCAAGCUAAUGGUUAGGUUUGAUAUGGUUUUUAGGUGGGCUUGAUAUAGGUAUUAUUAAUGUUAAAAUAUUUAUUAUUUUAAAAUUAUUGCUAUUAGGGAUUCGGCAUUAAGCAACGAGUACUAAUUGUCAGUUAUUGUUCUUAUUAAUAUUAUUAUCAUUCAUCCAGAAAAAUACUACUAUAACUAUAUUUGCUAUUAUUAUAUUUGCAUUAUGUUUAUUUUCAAGUAGUCAAAAAAUAAUAGACUCAUAUACAUAUGUGGUCUACAUGGGGUCCUCUGAAGAAAUGAGUACAAUCUUUACUUUGAUGGCUCUCAGUGGGAUCAGGCACCUAUGUUACUUUGACUGCUCUACAUGGCUGAGGCUAGUGGAGAAAUUCUUUGUGCACCAUGGGCGGUGUAGAAAAUCCGACGUGGAGCCAUCGCUUUUCAACGCGCAUUUAA
Non-coding RNA from Elaeis guineensis (African oil palm), 2096 nucleotides. Lineage: Eukaryota; Viridiplantae; Streptophyta; Magnoliopsida; Arecales; Arecaceae. The record is from RefSeq and is a predicted model, not a curated record.